CAGGUUACUCACACUGGGGGAUAACAGUUAGAAAUGACUGCUAAUACCGCAUAAGCGCACAGCUUCGCAUGAAGCAGUGUGAAAAAACUCCGGUGGUGUGAGAUGGACCCGCGUCUGAUUAGCUGGUUGUGGGGUAACGGCCUACCAAGGCAACGAUCAGUAGCCGGCCUGAGAGGGUGACCGGCCACAUUGGGACUGAGACACGGCCCAAACUCCUACGGGAGGCAGCAGUGGGGAAUAUUGCACAAUGGGGGAAACCCUGAUGCAGCGACGCCGCGUGAGUGAAGAAGUAUUUCGGUAUGUAAAGCUCUAUCAGCAGGGAAGAAAAUGACGGUACCUGACUAAGAAGCCCCGGCUAACUACGUG
Molecule: ribosomal RNA, 366 nt
Filed under: uncultured bacterium
Lineage: Bacteria
Description: bacterial SSU rRNA
Rfam family: Bacterial small subunit ribosomal RNA
Source: RNAcentral